UCUUUGCAGUAAUGCAAGGCAUACGGCUCAGUAACACGUAGUCAACUUACCUAUGGACGAGGAUAAUCUCGGGAAACUGAGCAUAAUACUCGAUAUGAUCAUAAUGCCUGGAAUGGUUUAUGGUUGAAAUGAUUCGUCGCCAUAGGAUGGGACUGCGGCCUAUCAGCUUGUUGGUGAGGCAAUGGCCCACCAAGGCGAUUACAGGUACGGGCUCUGAGAGGAGAAGCCCGGAUAUGGGUACUGAGACAACGACCCAGGCCCUAUGGGGCGCAGCAGGCGAGAAAACUUUGCAAUGUGCGAAAGCACGACAAGGUUAAUCCGAGUGACUUCUGCUAAAGAAAUCUUUUGC
RNAcentral lists this ribosomal RNA (349 nucleotides) under uncultured archaeon. Its description in RNAcentral is "bacterial SSU rRNA". It matches the Rfam family "Archaeal small subunit ribosomal RNA", at positions 58 to 413 of the family's 1478-position model. The record is from RNAcentral.